GGGCCUGUGGCGCAGUUGGGAGCGCGCCUGGAUCGCACCCAGGAGGUCAGGGGUUCGAAUCCCCUCAGGUCCACCA
Molecule: transfer RNA, 76 nt
Filed under: Acidobacteriota bacterium
Lineage: Bacteria; Pseudomonadati; Acidobacteriota
Also listed under: 1 other name
Description: tRNA-Ala
Rfam family: tRNA
About the family: Transfer RNA (tRNA) molecules are approximately 80 nucleotides in length.
Source: RNAcentral